AUGAAUCGACAACGGACCCUCUCUUGGGAAGUGAGUAAGAGCCGUCUUGUCAUCGAGUUCUCUCACGAGCUAGUAUCCAUCGCAACAAGUAGCACAAUAUAUUCUUAGCUGAAAUACAAAAAUAAUGAACCGAAUCCCAUCCUCAUCAGUCAUGAGUCCUAAUGUCCUAUCUCUCCAAGUCCGACCGCAACCUUUGGGCUAUACGACACCAUGAGCAAGAACAGGGAUGCCGCCGGCUUCAUCCCCAAUUCGGGCAAGACGACGAUGAACAGUUUGUGUAAUGGGGUAUGGUUCCUAUCCCCCUCUUCUCGUGUUGAGUUGCUGCGUUUGCUUGGCACUUUGCAGUGGUGGUCGACGAAGCGACGGGACGAGGCGUUGGUGGUGGUGGUGGUGAUGGUGGUGUGGCUGACAGAAGAGAGUGAGCAUGCAGCGGCAGACUGGAUCUAAAUAUGGUUGCUUCUGAAGAGAUACAAGACGAUGGAUGGAUGAAUGCCUAGACGCAGCUGUUGUUGCGUGCUCACUUCUUUUUCUGUGAGCUCUCUUCGGAAUAAGGCACUCUUAAAUUUUAUGGCAGCCGCUGCGCGAAUGCACGCCAUGGAUUCUCGCGCCGGGCAAUUUCUCUACGUUUUUUUCGGCGAGCUUCUCGUUGCCAUCUCUGUGCCUUCCGAUGAUGGAUUAUUAGCAGGGCCUUCAGCCUCGGGGGAAGAGGACGCGUGAUGGAUUAACACCGCUCUUUGCUCGCCUUCCCAGAUGUGUUUGACUUGUCGUCCUUGCUACCCCCUUCUCCCUCUCCUUUAGCCUCUCUCACUCUCACUUAUCUACUGUCCUUUUUUUCGCAAAGAUCUCACAGCAAAAAUUGCAUCUUUUUCCCUUUUGUUUUGCUCAUCUUAUGUGGUGCUCUGAGUGUUGUGAGGUAGGUGGGAGGCAGAUCUGCUUGGUUGCAAGUUGAAAGGGGGCACCUACCGGCGGCGAUGCCUUCAAGAUCUGGAAAUGUUUCUUCUCCGGUGCAUUCUUUCACCUGCUUGAAGUUGCGGAUGCAGUAUUUCCAAGUCUCCGGCAUCAUUUCAUGAAGUAUGACCUCAGCGAACUAGAUAUUACUGCAGAGUUCAGUGCAGCUGUGCAUGCAACCCAGUUAUCUGUCCUGGCAUACAAUAUGAGAGCUAUUCCAUUUCUGUAAGGCUAUUACUCGCCUUGCUUCUCAAUUUUCGUCUUCUCUAUUGCAUGCAUAGCUCGGUGUGCUUUGUUUUGAAAGUUAAUCACAGAAAUGAGGAAAAUAAAAAUUAUAUUAUUUUAUCUGAGAGAAACUUUCCACUGAUCUAAGUAUGAGCCGAAGCUAGGUUUGUUCCCAGUGAAGCCUAGGACAAUCCGUGUGCUUAAUAUUUCUGAAGUGGUGAUGAAUCUAUACUGAGACUUGUCGUGAACUGAUGAUUUAGGUUUGAAACCACACUAUCUUGUUCUCAGGGGUUUCAUUCCGUUUUUGGGAAUUCUGGCUACCCACUAGGACAUUGGUAACUGAUUGGUUUCAGUUUCUCUGGUGGAUAAGCCAAUUUCUUUUCCUUUGACAAGUUCAGCUGUGUCCUCAACUUGAUAUAGUAGCACUGGCCUCUAAAUUCUUUUGAGAUAGUGCACUCAGAUACUCUAGCUAGAACUGACCGGUUUUAAUUUUGAAUCCAGAAAUCCGCCGGUAUUUCUGGUUACAGUUUUUACAACCCUAGUACUGGUGAUCACCUUGAUUAUCUUUGUUCCAGAUUCUGCAGGUAAUGUACUUGUAGUCAAGGUGGUUUCUGUGUCUCAUACAAGUGCCAGGUAUAUGGCAUACAAGUGAAACUAGCUAUGUAUAAAUUACAUAUUGAAAACAGUCACUUGUGUUUUUUGCUUGUUGCAAAUAUCUUUUAUUAUUAAACAAAAUUGACAGAAGAACCUGUGACAUAUUUUUUGUCCUUGCUAUCUUCAUACUAUACAAUUCCCAAGUCAGAUCAUUCCAGUAUGCAGGUACUCAAUUUUCAUUAUGUCAUCUAAUAGUGAAACGGUCAAGCAAAAGUUCCUAGUAAUGUCCUAUAACCGAAUCAGUUUGUGCUUGUAUAGCUUUGGUUCCAACCAAGCAAUUGCUCUUUGAAGAACUGAGGUAGCGCGGGCCAUCGACCCCCCCCCCCCCCCCCAAAGAACGCGUGAAGCUUGCGUGCCUUGAUUGAAGCAAGAAAACAGAUUCACAACCUGGCUCAAAAUGGAGGAAAAGAGGAGCACACCGCACGUUGUCACUGGUACUGCUUGCUUACCAUGUAUAGAUUGUCUUCUCCAUUGUACUGUACGUUCUUCUGUCGAAGCCGUCAUGUAAAUUUUUGGGGCUGUUUACAAAGGGAUAAAGGUAUACUGUCACAGAAACAACAAAAGCAACAAAAGCAGGAGUGUCACGGAUGGUUUCUUAUAAACAUCGCUGUCAAAAUAGUCACAUGGGUUGUUAAGGUAUACGUGUCUAUAAUAUGACCAUCAUCUAGGU
Phragmites australis (common reed) is the source of this 2497-nucleotide long non-coding RNA. RefSeq lists it as uncharacterized. Lineage: Eukaryota; Viridiplantae; Streptophyta; Magnoliopsida; Poales; Poaceae. The record is from RefSeq and is a predicted model, not a curated record. The transcript is spliced from 2 exons.